RNAcentral lists this ribosomal RNA (468 nucleotides) under uncultured bacterium. Its description in RNAcentral is "partial 16S ribosomal RNA". It matches the Rfam family "Bacterial small subunit ribosomal RNA", at positions 28 to 507 of the family's 1533-position model. The record is from RNAcentral.
GACGAACGCUGGCGGCGUGCUUAACACAUGCAAGUCGAACGGAAAGGCCCUGCUUUUGUGGUGUGCUCGAGUGGCGAACGGGUGAGUAACACGUGAGUAACCUGCCCUUGACUUUGGGAUAACUUCAGGAAACUGGGGCUAAUACCGGAUAGGAGCUCCUGCUGCAUUGUGUGGGUUGGAAAGUUUCGGCGGUUGGGGAUGGACUCGCGGCUUAUCAGCUUGUUGGUGGGUUAGUGGCUUACCAAGGCUUUGACGGGUAGCCGGCCUGAGAGGGUGACCGGCCACAUUGGGACUGAGAUACGGCCCAGACUCCUACGGGAGGCAGCAGUGGGGAAUAUUGCACAAUGGGCGGAAGCCUGAUGCAGCAACGCCGCGUGCGGGAUGACGGCCUUCGGGUUGUAAACCGCUUUCGCCUGUGACGAAGCGUGAGUGACGGUAAUGGGUAAAGAAGCACCAGCUAACUACGUG